Molecule: ribosomal RNA, 252 nt
Filed under: uncultured bacterium
Lineage: Bacteria
Description: partial 16S ribosomal RNA
Rfam family: Bacterial small subunit ribosomal RNA
Source: RNAcentral
UACGAAGGGUGCAAGCGUUAAUCGGAAUUACUGGGCGUAAAGCGCGCGUAGGUGGUUCAGUAAGUUGGAAGUGAAUCCCCGGGCUCAACCUGGGAACUGCUUUCAAAACUGCUGAGCUAGAGUACGGUAGAGGGUGGUGGAAUUUCCUGUGUAGCGGUGAAAUGCGUAGAUAUAGGAAGGAACACCAGUGGCGAAGGCGACCACCUGGACUGAUACUGACACUGAGGUGCGAAAGCGUGGGGAGCAAACAGG